UACGUAGGGGGCAAGCGUUGUCCGGAAUCAUUGGGCGUAAAGCGCGUGUAGGCGGCCAGGUAAGUCCGUUCUGAAAGCCCGGGGCUCAACCCCGGGAGGCGGAUGGAUACUGCUUGGCUCGAGUCCGGAAGAGGCGAGUGGAAUUCCCGGUGUAGCGGUGAAAUGCGCAGAUAUCGGGAGGAACACCAGUGGCGAAGGCGGCGAUCUGGGAAGAUACUGACGCUGAGGUGCGAAAGCGUGGGGAGCAAACAGG
Molecule: ribosomal RNA, 253 nt
Filed under: uncultured bacterium
Lineage: Bacteria
Description: partial 16S ribosomal RNA
Rfam family: Bacterial small subunit ribosomal RNA
Source: RNAcentral